RNAcentral lists this ribosomal RNA (253 nucleotides) under uncultured bacterium. RNAcentral describes it as "partial 16S ribosomal RNA". It matches the Rfam family "Bacterial small subunit ribosomal RNA", at positions 524 to 776 of the family's 1533-position model. The record is from RNAcentral.
UACAGAGGGUGCGAGCGUUGUUCGGAAUUAUUGGGCGUAAAGCGCUGGUAGGUGGCUUGUUAAGUCGCGUGUGAAAGCUCCAGGCUCAACCUGGAAAGUGCGCGCGAAACUGGCGAGCUUGAGUGCCGGAGAGGGGCGCGGAAUUCCCGGUGUAGAGGUGAAAUUCGUAGAUAUCGGGAGGAACACCAGAGGCGAAGGCGGCGACCUGGAAGGUAACUGACACUGAGCAGCGAAAGCGUGGGGAGCAAACAGG